Molecule: ribosomal RNA, 233 nt
Filed under: uncultured bacterium
Lineage: Bacteria
Description: partial 16S ribosomal RNA
Rfam family: Bacterial small subunit ribosomal RNA
Source: RNAcentral
UGAGCAAUCUGCCCUUCUCUUCGGAAUAAGCGUUGGAAACGACGUCUAAUGCCGAAUACGACCUCCUUUCGCAUGAUCGGAGGUGGAAAGCUCCGGCGGAGAAGGAUGAGCUCGCGGCCUAUCAGCUAGUUGGUGUGGGUAAUGGCCCACAAGGCGACGACGGGUAGCCGGCCUGGAGAGGGUGACCGACCACACGUGGGACUGAGACACCGGCCCAGACCUCCGUACGGGAG